GGGCUCAUAGCUCAGCUGGUUAGAGCGUCACAUUGACAUUGUGAAGGUCAGAGGUUCGAGUCCUCUUGGGCCCA
RNAcentral lists this transfer RNA (74 nucleotides) under Omnitrophica WOR_2 bacterium RIFOXYA2_FULL_45_12. Its description in RNAcentral is "tRNA-Val". It matches the Rfam family "tRNA". Rfam says of the family: Transfer RNA (tRNA) molecules are approximately 80 nucleotides in length. Their secondary structure includes four short double-helical elements and three loops (D, anti-codon, and T loops). The record is from RNAcentral. RNAcentral also lists the same sequence under 2 other names. Lineage: Bacteria; Pseudomonadati; Candidatus Omnitrophota.